RNAcentral lists this long non-coding RNA (306 nucleotides) under Brassica napus (rape). Its description in RNAcentral is "long non-coding RNA (BNAP_LNC020402)". Lineage: Eukaryota; Viridiplantae; Streptophyta; Magnoliopsida; Brassicales; Brassicaceae. The record is from RNAcentral.
CUGACAUGAUUCUCCUGAUCAGGAGGUCGUGUACAAUGAUCCCCAUACUCACUCUUGAGUCUAGGACGGUGCCUUGCCUCUCCUGGGCCAUCCCUGGUCUUUCCACACAUUGAUGGUGUGUGAUACAAGCUCUCUAUAGAGCUCAUAUCAGCAUGAAUAACGUUUUGUCUUGGUCUAGGAUUAUGAAGCCAAAGCUGCAAGUCUUUAUGUAGUUGAUGCAAUUCGGACUUGCUUUCUUUUAUCCUGUUUUUGCUGCUGAUUUGAGCUACACUCCCCCCUCUUCCUUUAAAAGGUUUUGACCUCAAA